Molecule: transfer RNA, 64 nt
Organism: Cavia porcellus (domestic guinea pig)
Lineage: Eukaryota; Metazoa; Chordata; Mammalia; Rodentia; Caviidae
Rfam family: tRNA
About the family: Transfer RNA (tRNA) molecules are approximately 80 nucleotides in length. Their secondary structure includes four short double-helical elements and three loops (D, anti-codon, and T loops).
Source: Rfam
GGGGAUUUAGCUCAGUGGCAUAAGCACCUGCCUGGCAAGCAUGAGAUCGUGAGUUGAAUCCCCG